GACGAACGCUGGCGGCGUGCUUAACACAUGCAAGUCGAACGGAAAGGCCCCUUCGGGGGUACUCGAGUGGCGAACGGGUGAGUAACACGUGGGUAAUCUGCCCUGCACUUCGGGAUAAGCCUGGGAAACUGGGUCUAAUACCGGAUAGGACCAAAAGGCGCAUGCCUUGUGGUGGAAAGCUUUUGCGGUGUGGGAUGGGCCCGCGGCCUAUCAGCUUGUUGGUGGGGUGACGGCCUACCAAGGCGACGACGGGUAGCCGGCCUGAGAGGGUGUCCGGCCACACUGGGACUGAGAUACGGCCCAGACUCCUACGGGAGGCAGCAGUGGGGAAUAUUGCACAAUGGGCGCAAGCCUGAUGCAGCGACGCCGCGUGGGGGAUGACGGCCUUCGGGUUGUAAACCUCUUUCACCAUCGACGAAGGUCCGGGUUUCUCGG
RNAcentral lists this ribosomal RNA (435 nucleotides) under Mycobacteriaceae bacterium Ellin7031. RNAcentral describes it as "bacterial SSU rRNA". It matches the Rfam family "Bacterial small subunit ribosomal RNA", at positions 28 to 467 of the family's 1533-position model. Lineage: Bacteria; Bacillati; Actinomycetota; Actinomycetes; Mycobacteriales; Mycobacteriaceae. The record is from RNAcentral.